RNAcentral lists this ribosomal RNA (123 nucleotides) under Leptolyngbya sp. R11-1. RNAcentral's name for it is "partial 16S ribosomal RNA". It matches the Rfam family "Bacterial small subunit ribosomal RNA", at positions 1408 to 1529 of the family's 1533-position model. Lineage: Bacteria; Bacillati; Cyanobacteriota; Cyanophyceae; Leptolyngbyales; Leptolyngbyaceae. The record is from RNAcentral.
CCGACAUUGUCGCCCGAGUCGUUACUCUAACUGCUUGCAGAGGAGGACGCCGAAGGUGGGGCUGAUGACUGGGGUGAAGUCGUAACAAGGUAGCCGUACCGGAAGGUGUGGCUGGAUCACCUC